Molecule: non-coding RNA, 117 nt
Organism: Deltaproteobacteria bacterium RBG_13_49_15
Lineage: Bacteria; Deltaproteobacteria
Source: Rfam
UUCGGCGGCAAUAGCGAAGAGGAAACACCCGUUCCCAUCCCGAACACGGAAGUUAAGCUCUUUAGCGCCGAUGGUACUACACGGGAAGCUGUGUGGGAGAGUAGGACGCUGCCGAAU